GAUCAUUAACGAGUUAGGGUCUUCUCAGGCCCGACCUCCCAACCCUUUGUUUACCCGACCCAUGUUGCUUCGGCGGGCCCGCCGUUUCGACGGCCGCCGGAGGACCGCCUAUUCAGGUCCUCUGGCCCGCGCCCGCCGGUAGCCAAUUCUACCAAACUCUUGAAUCAAAUCGUGUCCAAUGUCUGAGUAUAUUACAAAAUAAAAGCAAAACUUUCAACAACGGAUCUCUUGGUUCUGGCAUCGAUGAAGAACGCAGCGAAAUGCGAUAAGUAAUGCGAAUUGCAGAAUUCCAGUGAGUCAUCGAAUCUUUGAACGCACAUUGCGCCCUUUGGUAUUCCGAAGGGCAUGCCUGUUCGAGCGUCAUUAUCACCCCUCAAGCCCCCCGGCUUGGUGUUGGACGGUCUGGUCGAGCGUUUCCGCGCGACCCCUCCCAAAGACAAUGACGGCGGCCUGGUUGGACCCCCGGUACACGGAGCUUCUUCACUGAGCACGUAUCGGUUUCAAGGUGUCCCCGGGACCCGGUCGACCUCUCUUGCUCCCCUGCGGGAGUGGGAGAGAACCCC
This 563-nucleotide unclassified non-coding RNA is filed under the name Exophiala dermatitidis. RNAcentral describes it as "sequence contains 18S rRNA gene, ITS1, 5.8S rRNA gene, ITS2, 28S rRNA gene". The stretch from base 209 to 363 matches the Rfam family "5.8S ribosomal RNA". Lineage: Eukaryota; Fungi; Ascomycota; Eurotiomycetes; Chaetothyriales; Herpotrichiellaceae. The record is from RNAcentral.